GUGGGGAAUAUUGCACAAUGGGCGAAAGCCUGAUGCAGCAACGCCGCGUGAAGGAUGAAGGUCUUCGGGUCGUAAACUUCUGUCCUUGGGGAAGAAACAAAUGACGGUACCCAUGGAGGAAGCCCCGGCUAACUACGUGCCAGCAGCCGCGGUAAUACGUAGGGGGCAAGCGUUAUCCGGAAUUAUUGGGCGUAAAGAGUGCGUAGGUGGUCUUUUAAGCGCAGGGUUUAAGGCAAUGGCUCAACCAUUGUACGCCUUGCGAACUGGAGGACUUGAGUGCAGGAGAGGAAAGCGGAAUUCCUAGUGUAGCGGUGAAAUGCGUAGAUAUUAGGAGGAACACCAGUGGCGAAGGCGGCUUUCUGGACUGAAACUGACACUGAGGCACGAAAGCGUGGGGAGCAAACAGGAUUAGAUACCCUAGUAGUCC
RNAcentral lists this ribosomal RNA (427 nucleotides) under uncultured bacterium. RNAcentral's name for it is "bacterial SSU rRNA". It matches the Rfam family "Bacterial small subunit ribosomal RNA", at positions 354 to 796 of the family's 1533-position model. The record is from RNAcentral.